AUAACGUGAUGGGAAGCGGUUCGCUUCCUGUGUAUGAUUGAACCCUUCGGUUAUGAACCCCAGGGUUCAUUUUUGU
Molecule: small RNA, 76 nt
Filed under: Leclercia adecarboxylata
Lineage: Bacteria; Pseudomonadati; Pseudomonadota; Gammaproteobacteria; Enterobacterales; Enterobacteriaceae
Description: sroE RNA
Rfam family: sroE RNA
About the family: This family consists of a number of bacterial sroE RNA genes of around 90 bases in length. sroE is found in several Enterobacterial species but its function is unknown.
Source: RNAcentral